Molecule: ribosomal RNA, 252 nt
Filed under: uncultured bacterium
Lineage: Bacteria
Description: partial 16S ribosomal RNA
Rfam family: Bacterial small subunit ribosomal RNA
Source: RNAcentral
ACAGAGGUCUCAAGCGUUGUUCGGAUUCAUUGGGCGUAAAGGGUGCGUAGGCGGCGUGGAAAGUUGAGUGUGAAAUCCUAGGGCUUAACCUUAGAACUGCACUCAAUACUCCCAUGCUAGAGGAAUGUAGAGGAGAGUGGAAUUCACGGUGUAGCAGUGAAAUGCGUAGAUAUCGUGAGGAAGACCAGUUGCGAAGGCGACUCUCUGGGCAUCUCCUGACGCUGAGGCACGAAGGCUAGGGGAGCAAACGGG